UACGUAGGUGGCAAGCGUUACUCGGAAUCACUAGGCGUAAAGCGCAGGUAGGCGGUUCGGUAAGUCUUUUGUGAAAGCUCCCGGCUCAACUGGGAGAGGUCAAAGGAAACUACCGGGCUAGAGUGUGGUAGGGGAAACUGGAAUUCCUGGUGUAGCGGUGAAAUGCGUAGAGAUCCGGAAGAACACCGGUGGCGAAGGCGGCCUGCUGGGCAGUUGCUGACACUGAGGCGCGACAGCGUGGGGAGCAAACAGG
RNAcentral lists this ribosomal RNA (253 nucleotides) under uncultured bacterium. RNAcentral describes it as "partial 16S ribosomal RNA". It matches the Rfam family "Bacterial small subunit ribosomal RNA", at positions 524 to 776 of the family's 1533-position model. The record is from RNAcentral.